Molecule: unclassified non-coding RNA, 301 nt
Filed under: Hevea brasiliensis (rubber tree)
Lineage: Eukaryota; Viridiplantae; Streptophyta; Magnoliopsida; Malpighiales; Euphorbiaceae
Source: RNAcentral
AUUAAAUUAAUCUAGCUUCAUUUAAUUAAUAACUCUCAUUUUUUGUCAAUAUUGGACGUUUAAAUUUAAUUGACCAAGUUUGGCUCUUACCGAAUUUAUGUUUGUCUUUUCCGUAAUACCCGAUAACUCAUUAUCUUUCUUUGCUUUGUGCUUAUUUCUUUUCAUUUUCUUGGCUUAUGAACUCAUAGACAUUCCUUCAAUUGAGUCUUCAUUAUGGGUCUUAUAGGGUUCUACUUGAAUUUAGAGUUGCACCAGACUCACUGUCAUUUUCCAGUGAGAUCACCCAACACCAGGACUUGUG